RNAcentral lists this ribosomal RNA (612 nucleotides) under uncultured bacterium. RNAcentral describes it as "bacterial SSU rRNA". It matches the Rfam family "Bacterial small subunit ribosomal RNA", at positions 338 to 950 of the family's 1533-position model. The record is from RNAcentral.
CCUACGGGAGGCAGCAGUAAGGAAUAUUGGUCAAUGGGCGCAAGCCUGAACCAGCCAUGCCGCGUGCAGGAAGACGGCCCUAUGGGUUGUAAACUGCUUUUGAACAAGAGAAAACCUCGGUACGUGUACCGAGCUGAUAGUAUUGUUAGAAUAAGCAUCGGCUAACUUCGUGCCAGCAGCCGCGGUAAGACGAAGGAUGCAAGCGUUAUCCGGAUUCAUUGGGUUUAAAGGGUGCGUAGGCGGCCUGAUAAGUCAGUGGUGAAAUCUCUCAGCUUAACUGAGAAACUGCCAUUGAUACUGUCGGGCUUGAGUACAGAUGAUGUGGGCGGAAUAUGACAUGUAGUGGUGAAAUACUUAGAUAUGUCAUAGAACACCGAUUGCGAAGGCAGCUCACAAAACUGUAACUGACGCUGAGGCACGAAAGUGCGGGGAUCAAACAGGAUUAGAUACCCUGGUAGUCCGCACCGUAAACGAUGAUUACUCGUUGUUGGCAAUAUGACCGUCAGCGACCAAGCGAAAGCGAUAAGAAUCCACCUGGGAGUACGCCGGCAACGGUGAAACUCAAAGUAGAAUUGCGGNGNGAGAGNGACGACGACGACGACGAGGGAGGAG